RNAcentral lists this transfer RNA (69 nucleotides) under Ovis aries (sheep). It matches the Rfam family "tRNA". Rfam says of the family: Transfer RNA (tRNA) molecules are approximately 80 nucleotides in length. Lineage: Eukaryota; Metazoa; Chordata; Mammalia; Artiodactyla; Bovidae. The record is from Rfam by way of RNAcentral.
CCUGGUGGCUCAGACGGUAAAGCGUCUGCCUACUAUGCGGAAGACCUGGGUUCAAUCCCUGGGUCAGGA